GACGAACGCUGGCGGCGUGCUUAACACAUGCAAGUCGAACGGAAAGGCCCUGCUUUUGUGGGGUGCUCGAGUGGCGAACGGGUGAGUAACACGUGAGUAACCUGCCCUUGACUUUGGGAUAACUUCAGGAAACUGGGGCUAAUACCGGAUAGGAGCUCCUGCUGCAUGGUGGGGGUUGGAAAGUUUCGGCGGUUGGGGAUGGACUCGCGGCUUAUCAGCUUGUUGGUGGGGUAGUGGCUUACCAAGGCUUUGACGGGUAGCCGGCCUGAGAGGGUGACCGGCCACAUGGGGAAUGAGAGAAGGAGCAGAGUCCGACGGGAGGCAGUAGGGGGGAAUAGUGCACAAUGGGGGGAAGUCUGAGGCAGCAACGCCGCGUGCGGGAGGAAGGGCGUCGGGGGGGAAAACGGUUUCGCCGGUGACGAAGCGGGAGUGAGGGGAAGGGGUAAAGAAGCAACGGCUAACUAAGUG
This 468-nucleotide ribosomal RNA is filed under the name uncultured bacterium. RNAcentral describes it as "partial 16S ribosomal RNA". It matches the Rfam family "Bacterial small subunit ribosomal RNA", at positions 28 to 507 of the family's 1533-position model. The record is from RNAcentral.